GGGAGAGAACGUGGCGCCGGAAACGGAAACGUCUGUGCAGACCAAUGGGGUGCCGAGAGAGAACGCUGACUCCGGAAACGUCCUGGCUGUCUGGGGAGGUGAGUCGCUUCACAGGAAGCGUCCCCCGGUGGCCAUGACCCCAGUGGCCAUGUGGCUGAGGCCCUGGGCAGUGGCUUCGUGACCGAAAGGCCCUGAACCCACCCCGAGGCCCCACAGCUUUUUCUCCAGCUCAGACACUUUCUGGGGCUCAGUCUUGCUGCGGCCCUUGUGGCAUUUGGCAGGCAGUGGGUGGACCAUGAGUGAGUUAGGAGGCCGAACUGCCCACCUCUACAAUGGGUUCCCAGGAGAGCGAACACGGGACCCGCUCCUCCAGGCCUCAGCCCCACUCUGGAAUGAGUUCAACAGCAAGGUACGGUGAGAGCUGGCGGCUUCAUUUUUGGAACCAGGGAGAGAGAGAGAGAGAGAGGUUUAUGAGAGACCUCAUGAGACAGCUCAUGAUGGAAGUGAGACUGAGUUGCAGUGAACCCUGUCACUGAAGAGACAGCCUUCACACUGUGUCUUGCAGGGGAAAAUACAACUCUUUAUUAAAAUUUAUUGCCCUGAAAAA
Molecule: long non-coding RNA, 607 nt
Filed under: Homo sapiens (human)
Lineage: Eukaryota; Metazoa; Chordata; Mammalia; Primates; Hominidae
Description: HSALNT0350619
Source: RNAcentral